AUUGAACGCUGGCGGCAGGCCUAACACAUGCAAGUCGGACGGUAGCACAGAGGAGCUUGCUCCUCGGGUGACGAGUGGCGGACGGGUGAGUAAUGUCUGUGGAUCUGCCCGAUAGAGGGGGAUAACCACUGGAAACGGUGGCUAAUACCGCAUAACGUCGCAAGACCAAAGAGGGGGACCUUCGGGCCUCUCACUAUCGGAUGAACCCAGAUGGGAUUAGCUAGUAGGCGGGGUAACGGCCCACCUAGGCGACGAUCCCUAGCUGGUCUGAGAGGAUGACCAGCCACACUGGAACUGAGACACGGUCCAGACUCCUACGGGAGGAAGCAGUGGGGAAUAUUGCACAAUGGGCGCAAGCCUGAUGCAGCCAUGCCGCGUGUAUGAAGAAGGCCUUCGGGUUGUAAAGUACCUUCAGCGGGGAGGAAGGCGAUAAGGUUAAUAACCUUGUCGAUUGACGUUACCCGCAGAAGAAGCACCGGCUAACUCCGUGCCAGCCGCCGCGGUAA
RNAcentral lists this ribosomal RNA (506 nucleotides) under uncultured bacterium. Its description in RNAcentral is "partial 16S ribosomal RNA". It matches the Rfam family "Bacterial small subunit ribosomal RNA", at positions 29 to 523 of the family's 1533-position model. The record is from RNAcentral.